This is a long non-coding RNA of Marmota monax (woodchuck), 2790 nucleotides long. RefSeq lists it as uncharacterized. The record is from RefSeq and is a predicted model, not a curated record. The transcript is spliced from 2 exons. NCBI's taxonomy places the organism in Eukaryota, Metazoa, Chordata, Mammalia, Rodentia, Sciuridae.
UCUUUAGGGAUGCCUGGGGCUCCUUUGUCCUUAGAGCAGCCUGAGGGGGAUGCCCCUUUUGGGCACCCUUGUGGGUCACAUUUCUAGGGUCGCCUAGGCUUUCCUUCUCCUCAGAGAAGCCUGAUGGAGAUGCCAGGGUUGGGGACCAUUGUGGGUCUUGUCUCUAGGAUCACCAGGAACCCCCUUCUCCUCAGAGCAGCCUGAGGGAGAAGCCUGGUGUGGGGACUCUCCUGGGUAACCUCUCUAGGGACACCUUCUCAGAGCACCUGAGGGAGAUGCCAGGCCUUGGGACCCUCAUGGGUCAUUUCUCUAAGUAGAUCCAGGGUUCCUAUCUCCUCAGAGUGGCCUGAGUGAGACGCCAGUGUGGGGACCCUACUGGGUCUCACCUGUAGGGCAUGUCACAGCUUGUAGGGGCAUGCUGCAACAUGUGGUGCCACAGUCUGGCUGGGCACAAAAUAACCGAGCCGCCAGGAGGCACUUGUAGGUACAAACAGGAACUCCUUUAUUGCCCGAACUCCCGAGAACAACACCCACACGGCCUUUCCAGGAACAUCACCAACCGGAAAUCCCUCCUCCAGAAGUUCCCCAACCAAAGUGAACUCCCCAGGAAUCCCCAGGAGAACUCCGAAGUAGUGGGGCGCCCUGGGCACCCUAGGCAGACAGCAGGGGUCUAUACACAACUGAAUACACAGCUUAACUUAGACAUUAUCAUCUCAAUGGCUCACUGGCAUCACCUCUCAACCACUCCCUCUGGUAAAAUGCUAGGCAUCAUUCCUACUUGACUGUGGCUCUCAACAUCUCCCCCCUGACAGAUUAUUCUAAUGUCUUCUUUAUGUAAGUGGGUUUUCCAGACUGUGGGAAAAGGAGCAGUUUUAGAGAUAUCCCUUCCUGAGAUUGUUACAGAAAGACACCAAAGCCUGUGCUCUCCCAUAAGGUAGCUAUGAAUCUUUAUGCAUGUGACAGAUUUUGGAGAGUCCCACACCUUUGCUGCUACUGAGAAAUUGUGGAAAUAGAUCAUAUAGGAAUGACCAGUCCACUCUACUAGGGUCAGGUAACCUAGUGGAGACUCAGGUGAGGUCUGACUUCCACCUUAAAUCUUCUUUGAUUUCUGUUUUUGGCAGAAGAAAGAUGGUCCAAAUUUAGGUAUCCAAGCUAGGAGAGACAAUGCAGCUCAUCGGUGCUCUCACAAUCAAACCUGAGAGCAACAGGCCUCCAGAGACUUCAGACAAAUGUGAGCACUGGGCUGGCUUCUGAAUAUUUCACACAGGCUUCUUCAGUUUGCUUUCUCCCACAUAGGGAGUGGGAAAGGUGUUUCAGCAGCACUGAUGGAACCAAGUGAGUGAUGCCUGAGCACAACCAGAUGAGGCUGAUGCACUUUGCUUCCUUUUAGAAAAAGCCCCUUCUGUACCUGAUUUGUAAUCUGGUGUAUUAAGAUUUUUUGUUUUUAUGUUUUAUUUAGAGACAGGAUCUCACUAAGUUCCUUAGGGAAGAAUGGAUAAUGUUUGGCUGGAAAUAAACUUCUCCAUGCUGUGUGCAUCCAAUAAUAAGUCAAAAGAGUGCUGUGUGGAGUGCUCCUCAGCCUUAGAGAUUCACAGAUAUUCCAGAACACAGUGUCCAUGGUUUGCAGGUAUCACUCCUUUGAUCCUGGAGUUUUUUAAGUCUCUGGGCUGGGGCUCCAUCCCAGCUGUCUCCUUGACCUCAUCUGUUUGUGGAGCCUUCUGCCCAGCAGGGAUAGCAGGAGUGGUCCUGAUGUUGAGAGGAAGGGUCCCUUCACCUAGGAUACGGGUGCCUCAGAAAAGACUCCUCCCUUUUUAUUGCCCUACUUGUGUAAAUGCAACUAAGACUGUAAACGGUGCUGUAUGGGUGUGUGGCUACUGGCCACAGGCUUUUAAAUAGAUUCUAAGUGUUUGAUGUUCUAGCACCCUGAAUGAUUCGAAGAUGAUUGAGUAAACAUCUUAUCCUAAUUUUUAAAUUAUCAAGCUAACUUUCAUUGUGGUGAAAAAAGAUAAACACCAGCUUUUUUGUUAAAAACAAUCAUGAACAUAGAAAUCUGUGGGAACAAGUGCAUGGAGUACUGCAUACAUGGCAUACCUUAAGGGUGUCUGAGAGGCAAAGCACGGCCCUGUGCUAGGCGGGUGAGUAGCAUACCAUUCACCCCAUAGGCACAGCCCUAGGCAUGAGGCCACAUGUUGCAGUACCAGCACUUGGUCCAUGGCCCCUCCUUGAUUGGUUGCUGCCAGGACAGUUGGACAGAAAUUGUAUUGGUGGCUGCCUAUAGUCUGCUCAGCUAUUGCCUAAGUUUAUAUACACGGUAACUAUGCAAUAAAAUCAGACCCGCUUCCUGCUUGGUCUCUGAAGGUCUUGAUUAUCAACUGUACAGCCACACUCUCCUCUACCCUGUACCAUGGACCUCCUCACUGGAUGAGAGAGAGCCCACAGAUAUCCAUCUCCAGGAACUGUGAUUGGCAUGGUGAUAACCAGGAAGCAAUAGUAUGAUGGUUUUAGUUUUACAUCUGAAUCUAUAACAUUCUCAGUUCACCUUGGCAAAAUCAAUUAAUUCCAAUAACUUCAACUUAGAAGGAUUUUCUGAUCCUUGACAACUAAGUUUGAUCUAUGUUUCUCACCCUUGACCAGGAACUCUCAUUUGGAUUUAGAAAUUGUGAUUAAGUUUCUUAAUCAAGUAUUUGUGUCUGUGACAAAAUCAAUGUUAAUUUUAGUGUGCCCCUAAAGCCCCUUCAAGUGUGAAUAUGAAAGUAGCAAGUUAUGUGUUUGUUGCCAGGUUGGAGUCAU